This 425-nucleotide ribosomal RNA is filed under the name uncultured bacterium. RNAcentral describes it as "partial 16S ribosomal RNA". It matches the Rfam family "Bacterial small subunit ribosomal RNA", at positions 354 to 796 of the family's 1533-position model. The record is from RNAcentral.
GUGGGGAAUCUUGCGCAAUGGGCGAAAGCCUGACGCAGCCAUGCCGCGUGAAUGAUGAAGGUCUUAGGAUUGUAAAAUUCUUUCACCGGGGACGAUAAUGACGGUACCCGGAGAAGAAGCCCCGGCUAACUUCGUGCCAGCAGCCGCGGUAAUACGAAGGGGGCUAGCGUUGCUCGGAAUUACUGGGCGUAAAGGGCGCGUAGGCGGACAGUUUAGUCAGAGGUGAAAGCCAAGGGCUCAACCUUGGAAUUGCCUUUGAUACUGGCUGUCUUGAGUACGGGAGAGGUGAGUGGAACUCCGAGUGUAGAGGUGAAAUUCGUAGAUAUUCGGAAGAACACCAGUGGCGAAGGCGACUCACUGGCCCGUUACUGACGCUGAGGCGCGAAAGCGUGGGGAGCAAACAGGAUUAGAUACCCUUGUAGUCC